RNAcentral lists this ribosomal RNA (440 nucleotides) under uncultured Janthinobacterium sp. Its description in RNAcentral is "bacterial SSU rRNA". It matches the Rfam family "Bacterial small subunit ribosomal RNA", at positions 358 to 790 of the family's 1533-position model. The record is from RNAcentral. Lineage: Bacteria; Pseudomonadati; Pseudomonadota; Betaproteobacteria; Burkholderiales; Oxalobacteraceae.
GGAAUUUUGGACAAUGGGCGAAAGCCUGAUCCAGCAAUGCCGCGUGAGUGAAGAAGGCCUUCGGGUUGUAAAGCUCUUUUGUCAGGGAAGAAACGGUGAAGGCUAAUAUCCUUUGCUAAUGACGGUACCUGAAGAAUAAGCACCGGCUAACUACGUGCCAGCAGCCGCGGUAAUACGUAGGGUGCAAGCGUUAAUCGGAAUUACUGGGCGUAAAGCGUGCGCAGGCGGUUUUGUAAGUCUGAUGUGAAAUCCCCGGGCUCAACCUGGGAAUUGCAUUGGAGACUGCAAGGCUAGAAUCUGGCAGAGGGGGGUAGAAUUCCACGUGUAGCAGUGAAAUGCGUAGAUAUGUGGAGGAACACCGAUGGCGAAGGCAGCCCCCUGGGUCAAGAUUGACGCUCAUGCACGAAAGCGUGGGGAGCAAACAGGAUUAGAUACCCGGG